UUGUCAAUCUAACUUGCUUUAGAGGACAACUGACUUUUAUCUUUACGAAUAACUAUCAGAAUUUGGUUAUGUUGUACUUGUAUUUAAUUGUGAUGAAUAUCUCUUGUAAUCUAUGACACAAGCUCAAAUGUUAUGGAAUUUAAUGCAAUGUAGUCAAUAGUCAUCAAUGGGAGAAAGUGUCAUUGCUCAUCCAUCUUUUGUACUUUAUGAUAUUUUUCCGUUUGCCGGUUCUCACUGUGAUUGAAACUUGA
This 251-nucleotide long non-coding RNA is filed under the name Panax ginseng (ginseng). RNAcentral describes it as "long non-coding RNA (PGIN_LNC013730)". The record is from RNAcentral. Lineage: Eukaryota; Viridiplantae; Streptophyta; Magnoliopsida; Apiales; Araliaceae.